RNAcentral lists this ribosomal RNA (253 nucleotides) under uncultured bacterium. Its description in RNAcentral is "partial 16S ribosomal RNA". It matches the Rfam family "Bacterial small subunit ribosomal RNA", at positions 524 to 776 of the family's 1533-position model. The record is from RNAcentral.
UACGUAGGUGGCAAGCGUUGUCCGGAUUUACUGGGCGUAAAGAGCGCGCAGGCGGUCGUUCAAGUCGCGUGUGAAAGCCCCCGGCUCAACUGGGGAGGGUCACGCGAUACUGAUCGACUCGAAGGCAGGAGAGGGAAGUGGAAUUCCCGGUGUAGUGGUGAAAUGCGUAGAUAUCGGGAGGAACACCGAUGGCGAAGGCAGGUCUCUGGGCCACUACUGACGCUGAGAAGCGAAAGCAUGGGGAGCGAACAGG